GGGUUGUGAGGUUAAGCGACUAAGCGUACACGGUGGAUGCCCUGGCAGUCAGAGGCGAUGAAGGACGUGCUAAUCUGCGAUAAGCGUCGGUAAGGUGAUAUGAACCGUUAUAACCGGCGAUUUCCGAAUGGGGAAACCCAGUGUGAUUCGUCACACUAUCAUUAACUGAAUCCAUAGGUUAAUGAGGCGAACCGGGGGAACUGAAACAUCUAAGUACCCCGAGGAAAAGAAAUCAACCGAGAUUCCCCCAGUAGCGGCGAGCGAACGGGGAGCAGCCCAGAGCCUGAAUCAGUGUGUGUGUUAGUGGAAGCGUCUGGAAAGGCGCGCGAUACAGGGUGACAGCCCCGUACACAAAAAUGCACAUGCUGUGAGCUCGAUGAGUAGGGCGGGACACGUGGUAUCCUGUCUGAAUAUGGGGGGACCAUCCUCCAAGGCUAAAUACUCCUGACUGACCGAUAGUGAACCAGUACCGUGAGGGAAAGGCGAAAAGAACCCCGGCGAGGGGAGUGAAAAAGAACCUGAAACCGUGUACGUACAAGCAGUGGGAGCCUCUUUAUGGGGUGACUGCGUACCUUUUGUAUAAUGGGUCAGCGACUUAUAUUCUGUAGCAAGGUUAACCGAAUAGGGGAGCCGAAGGGAAACCGAGUCUUAACUGGGCGUUAAGUUGCAGGGUAUAGACCCGAAACCCGGUGAUCUAGCCAUGGGCAGGUUGAAGGUUGGGUAACACUAACUGGAGGACCGAACCGACUAAUGUUGAAAAAUUAGCGGAUGACUUGUGGCUGGGGGUGAAAGGCCAAUCAAACCGGGAGAUAGCUGGUUCUCCCCGAAAGCUAUUUAGGUAGCGCCUCGUGAAUUCAUCUCCGGGGGUAGAGCACUGUUUCGGCAAGGGGGUCAUCCCGACUUACCAACCCGAUGCAAACUGCGAAUACCGGAGAAUGUUAUCACGGGAGACACACGGCGGGUGCUAACGUCCGUCGUGAAGAGGGAAACAACCCAGACCGCCAGCUAAGGUCCCAAAGUCAUGGUUAAGUGGGAAACGAUGUGGGAAGGCCCAGACAGCCAGGAUGUUGGCUUAGAAGCAGCCAUCAUUUAAAGAAAGCGUAAUAGCUCACUGGUCGAGUCGGCCUGCGCGGAAGAUGUAACGGGGCUAAACCAUGCACCGAAGCUGCGGCAGCGACGUUUAUGCGUUGUUGGGUAGGGGAGCGUUCUGUAAGCCUGUGAAGGUGUGCUGUGAGGCAUGCUGGAGGUAUCAGAAGUGCGAAUGCUGACAUAAGUAACGAUAAAGCGGGUGAAAAGCCCGCUCGCCGGAAGACCAAGGGUUCCUGUCCAACGUUAAUCGGGGCAGGGUGAGUCGACCCCUAAGGCGAGGCCGAAAGGCGUAGUCGAUGGGAAACAGGUUAAUAUUCCUGUACUUGGUGUUACUGCGAAGGGGGGACGGAGAAGGCUAUGUUGGCCGGGCGACGGUUGUCCCGGUUUAAGCGUGUAGGCUGGUUUUCCAGGCAAAUCCGGAAAAUCAAGGCUGAGGCGUGAUGACGAGGCACUACGGUGCUGAAGCAACAAAUGCCCUGCUUCCAGGAAAAGCCUCUAAGCAUCAGGUAACAUCAAAUCGUACCCCAAACCGACACAGGUGGUCAGGUAGAGAAUACCAAGGCGCUUGAGAGAACUCGGGUGAAGGAACUAGGCAAAAUGGUGCCGUAACUUCGGGAGAAGGCACGCUGAUAUGUAGGUGAAGUCCCUCGCGGAUGGAGCUGAAAUCAGUCGAAGAUACCAGCUGGCUGCAACUGUUUAUUAAAAACACAGCACUGUGCAAACACGAAAGUGGACGUAUACGGUGUGACGCCUGCCCGGUGCCGGAAGGUUAAUUGAUGGGGUCAGCGCAAGCGAAGCUCUUGAUCGAAGCCCCGGUAAACGGCGGCCGUAACUAUAACGGUCCUAAGGUAGCGAAAUUCCUUGUCGGGUAAGUUCCGACCUGCACGAAUGGCGUAAUGAUGGCCAGGCUGUCUCCACCCGAGACUCAGUGAAAUUGAACUCGCUGUGAAGAUGCAGUGUACCCGCGGCAAGACGGAAAGACCCCGUGAACCUUUACUAUAGCUUGACACUGAACAUUGAGCCUUGAUGUGUAGGAUAGGUGGGAGGCUUUGAAGUGUGGACGCCAGUCUGCAUGGAGCCGACCUUGAAAUACCACCCUUUAAUGUUUGAUGUUCUAACGUUGACCCGUGAUCCGGGUUGCGGACAGUGUCUGGUGGGUAGUUUGACUGGGGCGGUCUCCUCCUAAAGAGUAACGGAGGAGCACGAAGGUUGGCUAAUCCUGGUCGGACAUCAGGAGGUUAGUGCAAUGGCAUAAGCCAGCUUGACUGCGAGCGUGACGGCGCGAGCAGGUGCGAAAGCAGGUCAUAGUGAUCCGGUGGUUCUGAAUGGAAGGGCCAUCGCUCAACGGAUAAAAGGUACUCCGGGGAUAACAGGCUGAUACCGCCCAAGAGUUCAUAUCGACGGCGGUGUUUGGCACCUCGAUGUCGGCUCAUCACAUCCUGGGGCUGAAGUAGGUCCCAAGGGUAUGGCUGUUCGCCAUUUAAAGUGGUACGCGAGCUGGGUUUAGAACGUCGUGAGACAGUUCGGUCCCUAUCUGCCGUGGGCGCUGGAGAACUGAGGGGGGCUGCUCCUAGUACGAGAGGACCGGAGUGGACGCAUCACUGGUGUUCGGGUUGUCAUGCCAAUGGCACUGCCCGGUAGCUAAAUGCGGAAGAGAUAAGUGCUGAAAGCAUCUAAGCACGAAACUUGCCCCGAGAUGAGUUCUCCCUGACUCCUUGAGAGUCCUGAAGGAACGUUGAAGACGACGACGUUGAUAGGCCGGGUGUGUAAGCGCAGCGAUGCGUUGAGCUAACCGGUACUAAUGAACCGUGAGGCUUAACCUUACAACGCCGAAGCUGUU
RNAcentral lists this ribosomal RNA (2929 nucleotides) under Escherichia coli. Its description in RNAcentral is "bacterial LSU rRNA". It matches the Rfam family "Bacterial large subunit ribosomal RNA". The record is from RNAcentral. Lineage: Bacteria; Pseudomonadati; Pseudomonadota; Gammaproteobacteria; Enterobacterales; Enterobacteriaceae.